This 385-nucleotide small RNA is filed under the name Pan troglodytes (chimpanzee). RNAcentral's name for it is "processed transcript". The record is from RNAcentral. Lineage: Eukaryota; Metazoa; Chordata; Mammalia; Primates; Hominidae.
UCCCUGCUCUAGGUCGCGGCGGGACAGUGCCAGUGGGCGUGUGGGGUGGGGCGGGGCAGGGCAGGGAAGGGAAGGGCGGAGCUGGGGUGAGGGUCCAAGGGGCCCAGGACUUGGCCGGCGUGAUCUCAGCUCUGCAGACCCUGCGGUGCUGGGAGCCACCAUGGAGAGUAGGUGCUACGGCUGCGCUGUCAAGUUCACCCUCUUCAAGAAGGAGCUGGUCAUAACUUCAGUGACUUCUCUGUGUGUGCUUGGAGAGUCCCGGGGAGCAGCCUGCAGGGGCGGGUGAGAGGGGGAUCUCCCGCUUCAUGUUUCUUGUAGUACGGCUGUAAGAAUUGUGGCAGGGCCUUCUGUUCAGGCUGCCUAAGCUUCAGUGCAGCAGUGCCUC